Molecule: non-coding RNA, 90 nt
Organism: Mycena latifolia
Lineage: Eukaryota; Fungi; Basidiomycota; Agaricomycetes; Agaricales; Mycenaceae
Source: the annotation of a GenBank genome assembly
GGUUCGAUGGCGGACGGUCCGCGCCUGCGCACAAUAUUGCUGGACCAAUUGAUAUCGCAGGAGGAGCCCGUUCGACUCGGGUUCGAGCCA